ACACUCAAGAGCCCUUCAACCACAUCAACAUAUAAAAUACACAGAAGCUUCUCAUGAUAUUGCUUGAAGUCCAAGGGAUCUAAUACAAAAGAUGAUAGCUUCCUUAACUCUUUCAAAUCUAGACAUCUGAAAUUGUACUUCUUAGUGUUCCUUCGUCCAUAAUCCAUGGUCUGAAAAUAUUUGCAAACAAGACCUCAGUUCCUUGAAGUUAUUUUUUCGUGUGAUGAAUGUUAUGAUGCGCAUGAAUGCAUGAAUGCAACAAUCACA
This 267-nucleotide long non-coding RNA is filed under the name Lathyrus oleraceus (garden pea). RNAcentral's name for it is "Pisum sativum (pea) long non-coding RNA (PSAT_LNC022881)". Lineage: Eukaryota; Viridiplantae; Streptophyta; Magnoliopsida; Fabales; Fabaceae. The record is from RNAcentral.